CCCUAUCUAACAAAACUACUCCUUUCUUCGCAACUGAAGUCAUUGAUGACAUGAUUGUUAUUUACACGAGAUCCUUAGGCGUCUGGACAUAGAAUAGGCCUAGAAGGAGAAGUGCGUGAAGGGCAGCCUAGAUCGGUUAAAUUCUUUAUGCUUACUAGGCCAACAUUGAACCCAAAUCACAAGACAAUUGGCAUUACAAAAAUUUACUUAAACACAAAUUAAUCAAAGCUCAAGACAUUCGAAAAUUGAAUUAACAUCUUUAAAUGGGACUUCUAUAAAAAAAUCCAAGCCUUAUUGAAUUAUCAAACUCUUUUAAGAACAUGGACAAGUACUUAAAACUGUGGGGUAUGAAAUCUAAGAGCACGAGAGCCAAAUUUUAUGGCUAGGGGAUGGUAUUCUCUGGCUUCAAGUUAAGCCCAUCAGCCUAAGCACUUUGCAUUUUUAGUAUACAUUUGAAGACAAAAAAAGAAACAUUUUAUGACAUUAAGACCUAACCCUUUUAACUACACAACAAGCCUUUAUGAAAAGGAACAGGAGCAUGCUUUCGUUUCCAAGACAAAGAAAACCUUUCAUUCUUAAAGAACAUGCAAACCAUACAGAUCUGAAAAUAAACAUCACUAUUAAUUAUUAUCUGAAACAUCACCUUUAGUAGUUUCAGCAGAAUGCUACAACUAUUCGUGUCAGCAUAUCAAAAUACGAUACUAUAUGUUGAGUUUGUUCAAGAGCCUAAACCAACAUUAAAAGAAAAAACAGACAAUCACAAGUUGUCUAACAAAACCUCACGUUCCAAUUCUAGAUAUCAUACUCACAUUGAAACCAACAAUACCAAAGAAAAGGUAAAAUAUAUCUAACAACAAUCCUUUAUCAGCUCAUAACUUAAAACAAUUUAUCAAAUGGGCUUAACAGGCACCUUAAUUGUGACAACUUAAUGAGCAUAUAAACAUAUAAUAAGACUUAAUGAACAUGAAACCAAAAUACCCUAAGAUAGACUGCUAUGAACAAUGGUAUCAUCAUCAUUUCAUUCCCAUUUCAACAUGCCAUUUGAGGUUGGAUGAGUACCUGAUUACAACAGUAAAUAAAGAAGAUAAGCUAAAGAAUUAAGAUGAAACAAUAGCAAUAGUCAUCAAUGAAAACAGCCAAACGAACAACAAAUAUCCAACCUUCGACCCAGCUUCAAGCCCCAGAAUCAAUACCAGUUUCAGAACUUUGAAAAUAUGACUGAAAGGAAACUUAAGAACUAGGCAGUUCUCUGCAAAUUUUGAUAUGUUAGAAUCUAAAAGAAGCUCAGUUGUUCCUCAAGUUUU
This 1304-nucleotide long non-coding RNA is filed under the name Nicotiana benthamiana. RNAcentral describes it as "long non-coding RNA (NBEN_LNC011906)". Lineage: Eukaryota; Viridiplantae; Streptophyta; Magnoliopsida; Solanales; Solanaceae. The record is from RNAcentral.